RNAcentral lists this ribosomal RNA (312 nucleotides) under Escherichia coli. Its description in RNAcentral is "partial 23S ribosomal RNA". It matches the Rfam family "Bacterial large subunit ribosomal RNA", at positions 1085 to 1396 of the family's 2925-position model. Lineage: Bacteria; Pseudomonadati; Pseudomonadota; Gammaproteobacteria; Enterobacterales; Enterobacteriaceae. The record is from RNAcentral.
CCAGACAGCCAGGAUGUUGGCUUAGAAGCAGCCAUCAUUUAAAGAAAGCGUAAUAGCUCACUGGUCGAGUCGGCCUGCGCGGAAGAUGUAACGGGGCUAAACCAUGCACCGAAGCUGCGGCAGCGACACUGUGUGUUGUUGGGUAGGGGAGCGUUCUGUAAGCCUGUGAAGGUGUGCUGUGAGGCAUGCUGGAGGUAUCAGAAGUGCGAAUGCUGACAUAAGUAACGAUAAAGCGGGUGAAAAGCCCGCUCGCCGGAAGACCAAGGGUUCCUGUCCAACGUUAAUCGGGGCAGGGUGAGUCGACCCCUAAGG